This 477-nucleotide ribosomal RNA is filed under the name uncultured bacterium. Its description in RNAcentral is "bacterial SSU rRNA". It matches the Rfam family "Bacterial small subunit ribosomal RNA", at positions 30 to 504 of the family's 1533-position model. The record is from RNAcentral.
UGAACGCUGGCGGCAUGCCUUACACAUGCAAGUCGAACGGCAGCGCGGGGCAACCUGGCGGCGAGUGGCGAACGGGUGAGUAAUAUAUCGGAACGUACCCUGGAGUGGGGGAUAACGUAGCGAAAGUUACGCUAAUACCGCAUACGAUCUAAGGAUGAAAGUGGGGGAUCGCAAGACCUCAUGCUCCUGGAGCGGCCGAUAUCUGAUUAGCUAGUUGGUAGGGUAAAAGCCUACCAAGGCUUCGAUCAGUAGCUGGUCUGAGAGGACGACCAGCCACACUGGAACUGAGACACUGUCCAGACUCCUACGGGAGGCAGCAGUGGGGAAUUUUGGACAAUGGGCGAAAGCCUGAUCCAGCAAUGCCGCGUGAGUGAAGAAGGCCUUCGGGUUGUAAAGCUCUUUUGUCAGGGAAGAAACGGUGAGGGCUAAUAUCCCUUGCUAAUGACGGUACCUGAAGAAUAAGCACCGGCUAACUAC